This 343-nucleotide unclassified non-coding RNA is filed under the name soil metagenome. RNAcentral describes it as "partial contains 5.8S ribosomal RNA, internal transcribed spacer 2, and large subunit ribosomal RNA". The stretch from base 1 to 120 matches the Rfam family "5.8S ribosomal RNA", at positions 35 to 154 of the family's 154-position model. The record is from RNAcentral.
GAUGAAGAACGUAGCGAAAUGGGAUAAGUAAUGUGAAUUGCAGAAUUCAGUGAAUCAUCGAAUCUUUGAACGCACAUUGCGCCCGCUAGUAUUCUGGCGGGCAUGCCUGUCCGAGCGUCAUUUCAACCCUCAAGCCCCCGGGCUUGGUGUUGGGGAUCGGCGAGCCUCCGCGCCCGCCGUCCCCUAAAUCUAGUGGCGGUCUCGCUGUAGCUUCCUCUGCGUAGUAGCACACCUCGCACUGGGAAACAGCGCGGCCACGCCGUUAAACCCCCAACUUCUGAACGUUUGACCUCGGAUCAGGAAGGAAUACCCGCUGAACUUAAGCAUAUCAAUAAGCGGAGGA